This 482-nucleotide ribosomal RNA is filed under the name uncultured bacterium. Its description in RNAcentral is "partial 16S ribosomal RNA". It matches the Rfam family "Bacterial small subunit ribosomal RNA", at positions 29 to 507 of the family's 1533-position model. The record is from RNAcentral.
AAUGAACGCUGGCGGCAUGCCUUACACAUGCAAGUCGAACGAUAACAUGCGGCAAGGUGCUGACGGGUUGCGUACGGGGGAGUAAUGCAUCCGAACGUGCCCAGUCGCUGGGGGUAAGUACUCGUAAUAGUAGCUAAUACCUCAUACCAUCUAAUGUUUAAAGCGGGGGAGCGCAAGGCCUCGCGCGGUUCGUUCGGCCGAUGUAAGAUUAGGUAGGUGGCGGGGUAAAGGUGUACCAAGACAACGAUCUGUAGCUGUUCUGAGAGGACGACCCGCCACACUGGCACUGAGACACGGCACAGACUCCUACGGGAGGAAGCAGUGGGGAAUCUUGCGCAAUGGGGGAAAGCCUGAUACAGCAAAGCCGCGUGAAGGAUGAAGGCCUUCGGCUUGUAAAGUGCUGUUGUACGGAACGAAGUAAAGCUGGUUUAUCCGCGAGGAUAAUGACGGUACCGUAAGAAUAAGCACCGGCUAACUACGUG